UAAAAUACAGCUUGUGCAAGAACUGAAACCGCCCAACCUUCCCAAGCGACAUCGCUUCGCUCUAUGGGCUCUUGAAGAAUUCCUUGAUGCUGGUGAGAACGUGACUGUCAAUGGUGACCGCUAUCGCGCCAUGAUAACCCGCUAUAUGAUGCCUUAAAUUAAAGUUCGUGAUCUCGGCGAUAUUUGGUUUCAACAAGACGGCGCCAAUUUUAGUCGAAAUUUACCCUAAAAUGUGAUGGACUGUAAACCAGACCCUAAGUGAGCCUCGUAAUUUUAAUAGACUCUGUGAAUACUGCAAAAAAACCAAUUGGAUAACCAGGCAGUAUAUAUAUCUGGUUCUAAUAUCUUGAGAGAUCUACAAGGAAGAAGAAAUAAAACUUAUCGAGUAUAAUUAUAAUUACAAAACAAAAUCCGUUAUAAAUAACCAUGUGCUAUGUAUAUAAUGAACGCACCGAUUACAACAAUUUCAUCUCGUUAAUUAUGUUUGAUUGAGAAAAAAUUAAAAAAUUUGUGGCUGUCGUACGAAUGAAUAAAGAAUAAAGCUUUGUUAACAAUUGGUAUGAAA
This is a non-coding RNA of Bactrocera oleae (olive fruit fly), 565 nucleotides long. The record is from RefSeq and is a predicted model, not a curated record. NCBI's taxonomy places the organism in Eukaryota, Metazoa, Arthropoda, Insecta, Diptera, Tephritidae.